This 3093-nucleotide long non-coding RNA is filed under the name Brassica napus (rape). Its description in RNAcentral is "long non-coding RNA (BNAP_LNC012490)". The record is from RNAcentral. Lineage: Eukaryota; Viridiplantae; Streptophyta; Magnoliopsida; Brassicales; Brassicaceae.
AUAGACAAUUUAAUAAAAAUUUCAGGUAGUUUGAGGGUUUAAAAUUCUUUUUUUACAAAUUUAAGGGCCAAUAUAAUUUUUUUCAAAACUUUUUAGAGCCCUCGGGCCUGAGGCGAAUGUUUCAUCAGUCCAAGCCUUGCUUGGAGGUUCUGUAUUUUAAACUAUUUCCUAAAAUUUUGUAGAAUAAUCCCAAUGUCUUACUCGGAUGUAUCCAGAUCCGGCUCUGGUUCUGUUCUUGUGUCUCCUAGCAUGGUUUUUGAUAUAUUGUACUUGUUUUUGUUAGAGAAUAUGAUUGGGAAAGGAGGACAUGCGGAGGUGUACAAAGGAGUUUUACCUGACGGAGAGACGGUGGCGAUCAAGAAGCUGAUGAGACACGCCAUGGAAGAAGAAGAAAGAGUCAGCGACUUCUUAUCCGAGUUAGGGAUGAUCGCACACGUUAACCACCCAAACGCAGCUAGGCUUCGCGGUUUCAGUAGCGAUCGCGGUUUGCAUUUUGUGCUUGAGUACGCUCCGCACGGCAGUCUCGCUUCUCUACUCUUUGGUACAACUCUCCAUUUCAAUGAAAAUGCUUUUUAAAGCAUUGUUGUUUUUUUUUUUUGUGUUUAUGUUUUUUAAAACCUUUGUAGGGUCUGAGGAGGAGUGUUUGGAUUGGAAGAAACGGUAUAAAGUGGCUUUGGGUGUAGCUGAUGGUUUGAGUUAUCUUCAUAAUGAUUGUCCUAGACGGAUUAUUCACCGUGACAUCAAAGCUUCCAACAUUUUGCUAAGUCAAGAUUAUGAAGCUCAGGUAUUUUUAUUGAUGAUUAAUUCAACAAUCAAAAACUAAUCAGUUUUAGCUGAAUCUGAUAUGAAUUUUUUUUGGGUAGAUAUCUGAUUUUGGACUUGCUAAGUGGCUCCCAGAGAAUUGUCCUCAACAUAUUGUUUUCCCUAUCGAAGGCACAUUCGGGUCAGACAGAGACUUCCACGGCUACACAAUCUCUUCUUGAUGUUUAAAUCUUAACUAGGUUGGUUCUUUGUUUCUCUUACAGGUAUCUAGCUCCAGAGUACUUUAUGCAUGGGAUAGUUGAUGAGAAGACGGAUGUGUUUGCUUUUGGGGUGUUGCUUCUAGAGAUCAUAACUGGUCGUCGAGCGGUUGAUACAGAUAGCAGGCAAAGCAUUGUGAUGUGGGUAAUGAUCUGAAACUGCUCUUCUUCUUCUCUUUGUACGCAUUUUACAACAAUUAAGACAGUUUGAAAUGCUUGUUUUUCAAGGUGAAACCACUUCUGGAGAAGAGCAGCUUGGAGGAAAUAGUUGAUCCUAAGCUAGGAAAUGACUUUGAUGAAACUGAGAUGAGAAGGGUGAUGCAAACAGCUUCAAUGUGCAUACACCAUGUAGCCACUAUGCGUCCUGAUAUGAACCGGGUAUGUUUCAUUUCCAAAGCCAAACCAGUCCCAUUAGUGUUUGAUCUAAUAAGCAACUUAUGAAUUGGGUUGGUUUUGGAUGCAGUUGGUGCAGCUAUUGCGUGGGGAUGACCGGUUAGCUGAGCCGCACGGCGGAGCAAGAACAGUGAGUCUCGACGGGUGUGACCUACAAGAUCAUACCUCUUCCUCGUACCUUGACGGUCUCAUUCGGCAUAGACAACUCUUAAUGGAGUGAAGCAACCAAUCCAACAACAACAAUAAAAGUAUUACCUUGUCUUUCUUGCAUGUGAUUUUACUCCAUAUUCUCCAUUGUAAAAAUCUCUAAAAGAAAGGAAAGAUUGUAUGUAUAAUUGGCCUCUAGUCUCAGCUUAUGCUUGUGUCUUCAACCUUUGUUCAUGUGAAAGCUGUAGUCACUUUUGAAAUCCGAAUGAUUAAUCGAAAUCUCACAGAGAAUCCAAGAGGACGAAGGCCAUGGCUGUUGAAGGUAAGGCUAUAUAGUCAAUGUUACGACAUUAUGUUUAUGCCUUGUCUUCUAAUGAAAAAAUCUACUCAAACAUGUUAUGUGCAGAGAUGGAGAAGAAGAAAAAGAAGAAGAACAAAGGAAGCAAUGAAAAGACGGAGACGGAGAACAGCGACUCAUUAUCUAUCGACGAUCCAUCGCCGAGAUGCGUUCUUGAAAUCCCAUUAACGAGUUCGGACUCCGACAACAGCAGCAGCUGCAGCUCGUGCUCGCCUGAUAAGUCAUCGUCGCCGUUAUCUACAACUCCUCCGAACGUCUCGUCUCUUCAGCACCACGGUCUUCAAUGGAACAAGAUGAUAGACUCUAUCAAGAAGAAGUCCAUCAGGAGAUUCUCUGUCAUUCCUCUCCUCGCCAGCUACGAGCUCACGAGGAAAAACAUGCGGCGGAAACAGCCUAAGUUGUCUCCUUCUCCGGUUGACUGCGAUCAAAUAUUGGUCGCUAAACCGUCGUGGCGAAAUUUCAGUUACGAAGAGCUUGUGGCCGCCACGGACAGUUUUAAUCCCGGUAAGGUUUGGUAAGGUUCUGUUCAUGGCAGGUCCUGAAAUUUUAAAGAUUUCAAGAAUCAUAAACAUUUACCUAGAACUAUAAUAAUCUUAUAAAAAUAAUAUGAUGCCCUAGUAUGGGUCUUGAUAUGUUGUACUUGUUGUUAGAGAAUAUGACUUGAGCCAUGACCGGUCCUAAAAUUUUAGAAGUUAUAGACAAUUUAAUAAAAAUUUCAGGUAGUUUGAGGGUUUAAAAUUCUUUUUUUACAAAUUUAAGGGCCAAUAUAAUUUUUUUCAAAACUUUUUAGAGCCCUCGGGCCUGAGGCGAAUGUUUCAUCAGUCCAAGCCUUGCUUGGAGGUUCUGUAUUUUAAACUAUUUCCUAAAAUUUUGUAGAAUAAUCCCAAUGUCUUACUCGGAUGUAUCCAGAUCCGGCUCUGGUUCUGUUCUUGUGUCUCCUAGCAUGGUUUUUGAUAUAUUGUACUUGUUUUUGUUAGAGAAUAUGAUUGGGAAAGGAGGACAUGCGGAGGUGUACAAAGGAGUUUUACCUGACGGAGAGACGGUGGCGAUCAAGAAGCUGAUGAGACACGCCAUGGAAGAAGAAGAAAGAGUCAGCGACUUCUUAUCCGAGUUAGGGAUGAUCGCACACGUUAACCACCCAAACGCAGCUAGGCUUCGCGGUUUCAGUAGCGAUCG